This 443-nucleotide ribosomal RNA is filed under the name uncultured bacterium. RNAcentral's name for it is "partial 16S ribosomal RNA". It matches the Rfam family "Bacterial small subunit ribosomal RNA", at positions 338 to 795 of the family's 1533-position model. The record is from RNAcentral.
CCUACGGGAGGCAGCAGUGGGGAAUAUUGGGCAAUGGGCGAAAGCCUGACCCAGCAAUGCCGCGUGAAUGAAGAAGGUCUUAGGAUUGGAAAAUUCUGUCCUAUGGGAAGUAAAAAAUGACGGUACCAUAGGAUGAAGCCCCGGCUACAUACGUGCCAGCAGCCGCGGUAAUACGAAGGGGGCGAGCGUUGUCCGGAAUUACUGGGCGUAAAGAGAGCGUAGGCGGCACUAGAAGGCUCAUGUGAAAUACCCGGGCUUAAAUUGGGGGUUGCAUGGGAAACUGUAGAGCUUGAGUACAGGAGAGGCAAGCGGAAUUCCUGGUGUAGCGGUGAAAUGCAUAGAUAUUAGGAGGAACACCAGUGGCGAAGGCAGCUUGCUGGACUGAAACUGACGCUGAGGCUCGAAAGCGUGGGGAGCAAACAGGAUUAGAUACCCGGGUAGUC